This 522-nucleotide ribosomal RNA is filed under the name uncultured bacterium. RNAcentral describes it as "bacterial SSU rRNA". It matches the Rfam family "Bacterial small subunit ribosomal RNA", at positions 29 to 529 of the family's 1533-position model. The record is from RNAcentral.
AGUGAACGCUGGCGGCGUGCCUAACACAUGCAAGUCGAACGGGAUUUUCAGUUGUAGCAAUACAAUUGAAAGUCUAGUGGCAAACGGGUGAGUAACACGUGGGUAUCUGCCUUUAGGAGGAAAAUAACCCCGAGAAAUCGGGGCUAAUGUUCCAUAAGACCACGACUUUUCCUAAGAAGGGUUGGGGUCAAAGUCUCGCAAGGGACACCUAGAGAUGAGCCCGCGGCCUAUCAGCUAGUUGGUGAGGUAAUGGCUCACCAAGGCUAAGACGGGUAUCCGGCCUGAAAGGGCGAUCGGACACACUGGAACUGAGACACGGUCCAGACUCCUACGGGAGGCAGCAGUGGGGAAUUUUGGACAAUGGGGGCGAACCCUGAUCCAGCAACGCCGCGUGAAGGAUGAAGGUCUUCGGAUUGUAAACUUCUUUUAUAGGUGAAGAAAGGCUCCGUGAAGAACGGAAAGUGACGGUAAUCUAUGAAUAAGCCACGGCUAACUUCGUGCCAGCAGCCGCGGUAAUACGAA